AGGAGUGAGCAAGGUAUGGCUUCCCUAUUAAGCAGACUUAGACGGGGGGAACUUACUGAGCUUCCUCAAUCACAGCUGCAGGUGGAGGCUGAUGGGGAGGGGCACGGGGGUAUACAAGCAGGGUUUUUGUAUGAGCCUGUGUCACAGUGUUGGGUAUUCGGCGGAGGGACCAGUUUGACCGUCCUAGAUCAGCCCAAGGCAACCCCCACACUCACUGUGUUCCCACCCUCUCCUGAGGAACUGGCAACCAACAAGGCCACACUGGUGUGUCUGAUUAACGACUUCUACCCGAGCGCCGUGACAGUGACCUGGAAGGCAGAUGGCACAACUAUCACCCAGGGCGUGCAUACCACCAACCCCGCCAAACAGAGCAACAACAAGUACGCGGCCAGCAGCUACCUGAGCAUGACUGCCGACCAGUGCCGAAAUCGCAGCGCGUUCACCUGCCAGGUCACGCACGAGGGGAGCACCGUGGAGAAGAGCGUGACCCCUGCAACAUGUUCUUAGGGCCCCACUUCCCAUUGCAUCCCUGGGGCCUAGGGCUAAUGACCCCAGGAAAAGGGUCUCCCUCCAACUCCAGUUAUCCCAGUCCUUCCCCCUGAAUGUAUAAACUUCCAAUAAAUACCCUAGUUUCAAUCAGAAA
Tupaia belangeri chinensis (Chinese tree shrew) is the source of this 643-nucleotide non-coding RNA. The record is from the annotation of a RefSeq genome assembly. NCBI's taxonomy places the organism in Eukaryota, Metazoa, Chordata, Mammalia, Scandentia, Tupaiidae.